Molecule: ribosomal RNA, 509 nt
Filed under: uncultured bacterium
Lineage: Bacteria
Description: bacterial SSU rRNA
Rfam family: Bacterial small subunit ribosomal RNA
Source: RNAcentral
GAUGAACGCUAGCUACAGGCUUAACACAUGCAAGUCGAGGGGAAACGACAUCGAAAGCUUGCUUUUGAUGGGCGUCGACCGGCGCACGGGUGAGUAACGCGUAUCCAACCUGCCCACCACUUGGGGAUAACCUUGCGAAAGUAAGACUAAUACCCAAUGACGUCUCUAGAAGACAUCUGAAAGAGAUUAAAGAUUUAUCGGUGAUGGAUGGGGAUGCGUCUGAUUAGCUUGUUGGCGGGGUAACGGCCCACCAAGGCGACGAUGCGUAGGGGUUCUGAGAGGAAGGUCCCCCACACUGGUACUGAGACACGGACCAGACUCCUACGGGAGGCAGCAGUGAGGAAUAUUGGUCAAAUGGGCGAGAGCCUGAACCAGCCAAGUCGCGUGAGGGAAGACGGUCCUAUGGAUUGUAAACCUCUUUUGUCGGGGAGCAAAAAGACUACGUGUAGUCCCAAGCGAGAGUACCCGAAGAAAAAGCAAUCGGCUAACUCCGUGCCAGCAGCCGCGGU